Molecule: ribosomal RNA, 464 nt
Filed under: uncultured bacterium
Lineage: Bacteria
Description: bacterial SSU rRNA
Rfam family: Bacterial small subunit ribosomal RNA
Source: RNAcentral
CCUUNGGGUGGCAGCAGUCGAGGAUUUUUCUCAAUGGGGGAAACCCUGAAGGAGCGACGCCGCGUGAGGGAUGAAGGUCUUCGGAUUGUAAACCUCUGUCAUCUGGGAACAAUGUAAUCUACCUAACACGUGGAUUAUUGAUAGUACCGGAAGAGGAAGCAGUGGCUAACUCUGUGCCAGCAGCCGCGGUAAUACAGAGACUGCAAGCGUUGUUCGGAUUCAUUGGGCGUAAAGGGUGCGCAGGCGGUGUGUUAAGUCGGAUGUGAAAUCUCACAGCCUAACUGUGAUAGGUCAUUCGAAACUGGCAUGCUAGAGGACUGGAGAGGAGACUGGAAUAGUCGGUGUAGCGGUGAAAUGCGUAGAGAUCGACUAGAACACCGGUGGCGAAGGCGGGUCUCUGGACAGUUCCUGACGCUCAGGCACGAAAGCCAGGGGAGCAAACGGGAUUAGAUACCCCANUANUC